Molecule: long non-coding RNA, 470 nt
Organism: Camelina sativa (false flax)
Lineage: Eukaryota; Viridiplantae; Streptophyta; Magnoliopsida; Brassicales; Brassicaceae
Source: RefSeq, a predicted model, not a curated record
CUUCUUUCCCUUACUCCUCUGAGUCCUCUCUCUCUAUCGCGAGCUCUCAUAUUACAAAAUCGAAAGAGAUUUGUCUCACAAUCGGUUGCAAUCAGAGGAGAUUGAUUCGAUUUUGAGGUUAUCCGGCUGUUUGACCCCGUUAUAUCAUCAUCUACACCGACGCCGACUCUCAACGGUAUCAAUGGUUAAGCUGUUCGGUGAAUUUGUUCUUUGAAAUCGGAGAUUUUGAUUCACCAACCUCUUUCUCAUGAUGAUCUAAAGAAGAAGAACAAGAGGACAACAAAAGGAAGAAUACAUCAGAUGUUAACCCUUCGCUGAGAUCAAAAUCGCCUGUAUAGACCAUGGUAAAUAGAUAGAGCUUGAAGGAACAUGGUACAGAAGCUAUUGUAUAGUAUACAAAGCUAGUGAAUAUGUGUUAAGAGUAAAUGGCAAAACAUAAUUAGUGCAGACUUUGAAUUCUUCUUAUUUCA